This is a non-coding RNA of Leptonychotes weddellii (Weddell seal), 192 nucleotides long. NCBI's taxonomy places the organism in Eukaryota, Metazoa, Chordata, Mammalia, Carnivora, Phocidae. The record is from RefSeq and is a predicted model, not a curated record.
AGAAAAAAAUGCUGAAAGGACAAGGAACAUUUGAUGGGGAAGAAAAUGCUGUCCUGUAUCAGAACUACAAAGAAAAGGCUCUUGAUAUUGACUCUGAUGAAGAGUCGGAGCCCAAAGAACAGAAGUCAGAUGAAAAAAUUGUGAUUCACCACAAGCCACUGAGGUCCACAUGGAGCCAGCUCUCUGCGGUAA